Molecule: ribosomal RNA, 455 nt
Filed under: uncultured Eubacteriales bacterium
Lineage: Bacteria; Bacillati; Bacillota; Clostridia; Eubacteriales
Description: bacterial SSU rRNA
Rfam family: Bacterial small subunit ribosomal RNA
Source: RNAcentral
ACCAAGCAGCGGAGCAUGUGGUUUAAUUCGAAGCAACGCGAAGAACCUUACCAGGGCUUGACAUCCCUCUGACAGUCCCUUAACCGGGACCUUCUUCGGACAGAGGAGACAGGUGGUGCAUGGUUGUCGUCAGCUCGUGUCGUGAGAUGUUGGGUUAAGUCCCGCAACGAGCGCAACCCUUGUCUUUAGUUGCCAUCAUUCAGUUGGGCACUCUAGAGAGACUGCCGAGGACAACUCGGAGGAAGGUGGGGAUGACGUCAAAUCAUCAUGCCCCUUAUGUCCUGGGCUACACACGUGCUACAAUGGCUGGUACAAAGAGACGCAAGACCGCGAGGUGGAGCAAAUCCCUAAAAGCUGUCUCAGUUGGGAUCGGAGUCUGCAACUCGACUCCGUGAACGCGGAAUCGCUAGUAAUCGUGGAUCAGCCAUGCCACGGUGAAUACGUUCCCGGGCCUU